Molecule: ribosomal RNA, 427 nt
Filed under: uncultured bacterium
Lineage: Bacteria
Description: bacterial SSU rRNA
Rfam family: Bacterial small subunit ribosomal RNA
Source: RNAcentral
UGGGGAAUAUUGGACAAUGGGCGAAAGCCUGAUCCAGCCAUGCCGCAUAUGUGAAGAAGAUCUUCAAAUUGUAAAGCACUUUAAAUUAAAAAAAAGAGCAGUUACCUAAUACGUGAUUGUUUUGACGUUACCGACAGAAUAAGCACCGGCUAACUCUGUGCCAGCAGCCGCGGUAAUACAGAGGGUGCAAGCGUUAAUCGGAAUUACUGGGCGUAAAGCGCGCGUAGGUGGUUAGUUAAGUUGGAUGUGAAAUCCCCGGGCUCAACCUGGGAACUGCAUUCAAAACUGACUGACUAGAGUAUGGUAGAGGGUGGUGGAAUUUCCUGUGUAGCGGUGAAAUGCGUAGGUAUAGGAAGGAACACCAGUGGCGAAGGCGACCACCUGGACUGAUACUGACACUGAGGUGCGAAAGCGUGGGGAGCAAACA